GAUGAACGCUGGCGGCGUGCUUAACACAUGCAAGUCGAACGGAAAGGCUCCUGCUUGCAGGGGUACUCGAGUGGCGAACGGGUGAGUAACACGUGGGUGAUCUGCCCUGCACUUCGGGAUAAGCCUGGGAAACUGGGUCUAAUACCGGAUAGGACGAUGGUUUGGAUGCUAUUGUGGAAAGUUUUUCGGGGGGGGAGGAGCUCGCGGCCUAUCAGCUUGUUGUUGGGGGAAUGGCCUACCAAGGCGUCGACGGGGAGCCGGCCGGGGGGGGUGGACGGCCACGAUGGGGCUGAGAUACGGGCCCGGCGCCCACGGGGGGAAGGCGGGGGGAAUAUUGGACCAUGGGCGGAAGCCGGAUGCAGGGACGCCGCGGGGGGGAUGACCGCCUUCGGGUUGUAAACUCCCUUCGCUAGGGACGAAGCGUUUUGUGACGGUACCUGGAGAAGAAGCACCGGCUAACUACGUG
This 466-nucleotide ribosomal RNA is filed under the name uncultured bacterium. Its description in RNAcentral is "partial 16S ribosomal RNA". It matches the Rfam family "Bacterial small subunit ribosomal RNA", at positions 28 to 507 of the family's 1533-position model. The record is from RNAcentral.